Molecule: ribosomal RNA, 255 nt
Filed under: uncultured bacterium
Lineage: Bacteria
Description: partial 16S ribosomal RNA
Rfam family: Bacterial small subunit ribosomal RNA
Source: RNAcentral
UACGGAGGGUGCAAGCGUUAUCCGGAUUCACUGGGUUUAAAGGGUGCGUAGGUGGGCAGGUAAGUCAGUGGUGAAAUCUCCGGGCUUAACCCGGAAACUGCCGUUGAUACUAUUUGUCUUGAAUAUUGUGGAGGUAAGCGGAAUAUGUCAUGUAGCGGUGAAAUGCUUAGAUAUGACAUAGAACACCAAUUGCGAAGGCAGCUUACUACGCAAAUGAUUGACACUGAGGCACGAAAGCGUGGGGAUCAAACAGGA